Molecule: long non-coding RNA, 18154 nt
Filed under: Homo sapiens (human)
Lineage: Eukaryota; Metazoa; Chordata; Mammalia; Primates; Hominidae
Description: HSALNT0397264
Source: RNAcentral
GCAGGAGCGCUCGGAGUUGUGGGGUACGGACCCCAGGCGGGGCAGGGAGUCCGAGGCGGGCUGCGGCGGGGCUCUCGGGCUGGCGGACUCGGGGGCUGAGGCGCCGUGCGCGUUGGGUGCCCGCGGCCGCAGAGGCCAGAACCGCUACUCCUCCAGGCCGGGGAGACGCGGCCGUGGAGCGUGAAACGCUUCUUGCAAGCGAGGAAACGGUGAGUUGGCCGACACCGCCGGCGGCCUCACCAUUCUGGUGGCCGCGCUGAGCUCCUGUCGCCUGGAGGCGGGUUGCGCCGCACGGGGUCAGCUCCCGCCGGCUCCCAGCUCACCUUCGAAGCUCCCACUUAGGCGCGCCCGGUGCGGCGUGUGCACAGCGCGGGGCGCCGCACACGGAAGCGUGUAGUUCUCCCUGGUCGCGCUUUUCUCCUCCUUUCCAUCCCCUCGCUGUUCUUGCAAACCUCUGUUCCUUCGGCCCCCUCCCACUGCGGGCCGCGGCCUGAACUCGGGUCUCCGCGUAGCCGGCCGCCGCCGCUGGGUCGCUGCCUGGCCCUCCCCCGCUCAGGCGCCGAGCGCUGUGCGAUCCGCCCUAACAUCUGUCCGUCCAACCAUUGGCGCAUCCAUCAGUGUCAAUGGGCUGCACAUUGCAGCGACAGCCCGCCACGCACAACACGGGCUAUGCGGAGUGCACGCAGCAACCAUACUGCCAUGUCGGGACACGCAAAAAGGCCCCCGGCCUGGCUUGGCACAGCCUGAAGGCCUAAUCUGUGUUCUUUCAGCCACAUGUACCCACCCCCACUUAAUAUCUGGACCCCCAAACAUGAAUAGUUUUGCAGACCAUUGUAGGGAUGGAAUUGAAGGAAGAGGGGCAGUGUCGCCCGAGUCAUUAUUUUCCACCAGGUUUUCUCUGCCCUUGUGUGGGCUGGGUGUGGCUAGGAGAGAAGGAAGGGAGACUUCCCAAAUCCGCACCAAGCACACUGCAGAACCGGAAGCUACCUGGAUGCAAGGGCUUAAACCCCCUUCACCUGGGCCUAGGAUGUGUUGUCGAGGUCGCUGGCCAGGUUUUAGCCAGGAGGUCUCGCGCUAAAACUUUUUGGCCCCGCCUGGCUGCUGUGUGUGACAUGGCCUGAUGGAGAGGAGCUGGAGAGCGGAGGAAAACGUGGAUCCCAGUGAGAACUAAGGGCCAGAUUUAGGGAGAAAUAGUGUCUGGAUGGCAGUAAGUCUGUAAUUCACAUUUUGUUUACAAAGGGAGAAAGGGCAGGGCUGUAGGUUUGAGAAGCCAGAGGUUUGCGCGGAGUUCCGUGUGCCCAUUCCCCGAGAGUGCCGCUCUUGGCUGUAGUUGUUUGUUCUACCUGAUUUUGCCUCUUGCCUUCAACUCCCCCAUAACCCCUCCCCAAAUGUCCAGAGGGCAAACAUAUGCGCAUACCUCCCUGAUCAAUCCAGCCAGACCAAAGGGCCUUCCCUGUCCUCCCCCUAAGAACUUAAUGGGAAGAGUGUACGGGGGACCUACUCUUGGGACAUCUGCAGGGCGGCUGUACCAGGCGUUUUACCUGACUUUAUUCUUACCGCAAAGAUUUCCGUCUCGGUACCUGGUGCCCCCUCAGAGUCCACUACACAAACGGGUAAAAUCCCGCGCGGCUAUUCAUUUCGCCAUUCGCGAGUAAGAAGGGGAAAAGGAGCCGCUUCUAGGAGAGCACUGAGGUAUGCUCGGUUCGGUUCCCGAGGAGGCCAGAAGCGGCCGCGGCGGCGCGGGCUGGAGCUCCCUCCUGCAGGGAGACACCGCGCUCUAGGGUGCGGGCUUCGCCGCCCACAUCCAGUGGUCGAACUGUUUUCACGCUAGACUAGAGGGCGGAAAAGUCUGCGCCCGCGGAGAAACUAGAAUUCUGUAGAAUGUACACUGUGUAGAAAUCUUUUCACCCCACUCUUCAGAGUUGCAGAUUAUCUUUGAAAAACAACAGGCUCUGGCCCUGCCAGCCCUAGUAACUUCUACCCGCCUGAGUCACUCUGAAAAGUAAGCCCCUAGGCCAGUGAGAUGUCCCCACCUUUGGGAGGUGCCGCCUUUCCGGGAACAUUAAAAAAAAAACCCUAAAAAUAGAAGGAGGAAAAAUGAGCAAAGGCGGUGGGACGACUCACCGAAACACCGAGGUGCAAAUGUCCAUUGGAGAAACUGGCAGUCGCAUGGCAGCCAGCUGGCUCACCCAAUAGCUGGGUGGUAACCUUGUGAUCCCCAAACAUCCCCCAGGGCCAUGAAGGCAGUGCUGACCCCCACGAUUGCACCUCAGGCCCGGUGGAAUCCCGCUCCUCCUCCAUAGUGGUGCUAUGUAAUCAGUAGAAAAUCAGUAGAAAAGCUCCCAAAUGAAGCUGCUUCAGGUCAGGGGUUAGAAAUCUGCCUCAGACUUUUUGAACUCAAGGAAAUCGGGACAUCUGUCCCCAGAGCUACCUGUGCCCCACCCCAGGAUCAUUCAUGACCUUAGCUACCGGGAGCUCUGCCCGGAUAAGUUUUUAAAAGAGAGAGAGAAAGAAAAAAGUCACAUGCAGGCAAGGCUAGGAACAGGUGUGUGCUGUGGGGACGGGCACUUGGCUCGCAACACACCACACAAAGUCACGAAGUCUGUGCCAGAAAGGAGUAGCCAAACCACCGCCGGGAGGCAGCCGAGGUUGUGUUUAAGGUGGCGAUUGAGGGCAGUAGGUGACAACUCGACCCAAAGAAGGCCAAGUCUUGUCCUUAUCUGGGGUGGCCACUGAGGGAAAAGACUUAAGGGAAAGAAGUUGUCUUCAAAGCUACCAUUACAAGAUGAGGAGCUAGAGUGGGCUCAGGUCCCAGGCACCCAGGGCUUAAGCCUUGAUGUUGGAGAGGUUCUCGGAGGGAGGCUUGGGCCACCUGGAGGGACUGGGCACUCUGAGUAGUACCCUCUGGGAGGCUGUACCCCCUUUCAAAGUGUGAGGGCAUUUGCCCAAGGUGUAGGCUUUUAGGGAGCCCAGGGCUGGGCAGCACCAGGGGAGAGAGGCACCAGGUGGGUGCCCUCCUGCCUGCACUCACCUGGAAUGCUGGCAUAUGGGUUUUUCGCCUUCCUCACGCCUCCCCACACCACAUUCUGGGCUAGGCAGUGUCGAGGAGGUGCCUUGGGUUCAGGGAAGCUUGCCACCUGCACACCUGAACCAGGAAUUGGGCCCCGGAAUCUCAGCCCCUGCCCAAGCAGGAAGGAUAGGGACCCUGGCCCUCGCCAGGUGGUAAAUUGUUUGCUAAAAGUGCAUUUACACGGCGGCGAAGUUUGUUUCUCUUUUACCGGUAGCUUUGUUUUAACGAACCAGAUGUUUUGUCUGUAAAUUCUCCCAAGAACUUUUCCAGUUUUGACGUGAAAUAAACCUUCGAAAAUCAGAAGAGUAUAUUAAUACCACUUCUGUGGGGCCUCAGGAGAGCUGAGUCAGGUGUGCCUGGAUGGGAGCUGGGGGUGGGAGUACAAUCUUUGGAGAGAAGUAGGGGGCUUCUCUUGGCCCAAGGUCAAGAAUUGGUUUGGGGGAGGUGAAGUGCCUCCCCGACUCCCAAAACAGGCGCACACACACGCAUUGUCACACCAGAGUACGCACUCCCAGCCCUCCUCCAACCAGGCAUAGCUUGCUACUUCGUAAAUUUCUUGUGGCUUGGGGCACAGAGAUGUAGCUCAACUUUGCAGACUGUGUCCACUGCAUGCCGCUGCCGUUUUCCACGAGGACCGCCUGACUGAAAGGCAAAGGGGCCUUCGAUCUUCUUCCCGGGGCAGCUUUGAUGCCUGAGUGUGCGGGGCCGGGGCCGGGGCCAGGGCAGAGCAGGGUGGAAGCUGGUGCCCCUGUCUGGCCCACCCUUAACUCCUGGGCACCACUCGAUUCGGGAGAACUUGGGGUGGAAGCCGACCUGGUCUAGGAAGCCACAGCCUGCAGGUCCCCCUCUCCAAUGCCUCAUUUUUUCCGAUUUAGGAUUUCCAGGCAGUUAUAAACACCUUAAAAAAAAAGACCCACUUAACAAUACACCUAAAAGAGGGAGGGAAGGAAGGAAGGAGUACGGUUAUCACAGGCGUGUGGGGAGAGGGAAACCAGGUCUGCCUAGAAACCCACCUUCUGGUCCUGUGAGUCAUAGCGGCCACUUUCUCGGGUUUCCCAAGACAGGAGAUGGCGAUUUUCUGCUCCCUCCCCUCUCCCCAAGCUUUCCAGUGCUCUGAGUCUCACAUCUUCAGAUACCUCUUUCUUCCUUCAUUCUCUUUCGUUCAAUCAUCUACGGAACUUUCAAAAACUUUUUUUUUAGGAGAGCGAAGAUUAAAUAAAGAAAAUAAAACGUCUUUGUAUUUCAGUCUAAGGAGGACAGAUGCACAUUAAACUCAGUUUGGAGCGCUUAACUCCAGGCGAAAUGCCCUUUUAUCAAAUCCCACGCGUCGACUUGGGUUGCGCUGGGAAUUUCACGAAUUCCUCGCUGCAGCGUGGCGUGGUUUACCCCCACCCCCACCGCCACCCCACUUUGGGUGAAAUGGAUUUUUGGAAACCAUUUAAGCAGAGCUAAAAAUAAGGGUGGGGGGAUCCCUACACUAGAGAUAGCUGCAGCCACCUAGGGGCUCACCCCUGGUCGGGAGCGAGCAGCUAUUUGCUAGUUGUAGCUCAGGGGUGCCCAACUCUUCCCGUGUGGUUGCGCCAGCUGCCCCGCACUGCAGGUAUCUGAAUCAUUACGUGGGCAACCUGAUGCGGCUCUGAACCCCAGCUCUUUGAAUGCUGGAAUCCUGAAGGAGGAGGAUUCCACCAGGUCUUAGCCGACCAGAUAGCCCAGCUUUCUGAGGCUGGUGACCUCAUUAACUGGCCAGGGAAUUUGCAAGACCAGGAAUAAUCACGUUUCCCAGUUCUUCUUUCCUACAUUGCUUUUCUCCUCUGUCUUCAACGUUAGGGUUUUGUGUUUGUCCCUAAAUUUACAAUUUACAAACGGGGAAGACGGAGCCUAAGUUUCUGCAGGGCAGGUACAAAAGAGAGGGACAACACUCUGGGGGCCUCAUUCUUUCACGUUUUUGUUUCUUGAAAUUUGAUGGAUAUCACCUUAGUUCGGCAAUAGGAGGGCCAGGGUGACUGGGGACAUGGUGGCCCGAAGGGUUAGAUAAUAUAGCAUGCAGGUAGUCUCUGAUCUCCAGGGCUUUGAUAACACCAAGAUUUUCCUCCUUUGCAGAGCAGUCCUAAAUUCUGCCUUCUCCCUUUUCUGCCGCCUCUUCUCUUUUCCCCAUUUCUUUCUUCGUUUCUUUUUCUGUUUUCUUUUUGUGUGCCUCUCUUCCAACAGUCCCUCCUCCACCUUUAUAAGACUUCUCAAAGGUUAUUUAUUUAAGGUCUACCAAGUGCUAGCCCCAAACAGGUCCAGUCCUUCUACCUGUGGCAAGACGGAGGCUGUUACCGCGUGCAAAUAGUGAGGGAACAAAGUAGUUUGGAGUUUUUUGCAGCUUUUUUAGGUGAGGGGAAGGGAGGGAGGUCAGAAAUAGGUUGACACUUGGUUUGAAAUAAAAGAGCAUGUUAAGAAGUUUCGAAGCUGCCAAUAAAACCCUUUAAGUGGCUUGUGAUUCAGUGCCUGGAGUUGCGGGGAUGGCAUUGGUAAAUGACUCUAAUGCCCAAAGAAAAAUAUUACAAAUGCCGCUGUCUCGGCCACCAAUCGGGCGCCGCUUUCCUGCGCGGGCGAUGGCUCCUCUCUGGCGCGGAGGGCACCCACAUUUGCAUGAUAAAUUGACCAGACUGGCGGCAGCCAAUGAAAUAUUCAAAUUAGGCUGGGUGGCGGUAGUAGGGGUGGAGUCCCUGGGGCUGCCCCUUGGCGCGGCGGCGGGAGCGGGCGCUACCACCUCUCCGUCAGCGCCCUCUGGAGGCGGGACAGCGCGGGCGGCCGCUCUGGCCCAAAAGACGAGAUGGGGGGUUGGGGGUUUGGGAUGCAAGGGGGUUUGGGAGGGGUGAUGGUGGGGUCUGGGUGGUGCUUCGCGGCCCCAGGAGGCUUUCCGGCUGGCCUCGUUGACUAGGCGUACAGCAGCGUCUCCGCAUGCCUCUUGCCCUUAAAAGUGUUGAUGGAUUGCAGAAGUGGAUGGUGACCCCAAGGAGGGGUUUCAGAAAGGCUCCAGCCUCCUUCGCCCAACCACCUUCUCUAGGUUCCCCUAACAAACCCAUCACUUAAGUUAAAAACGUGUAUUUGCUCUUGUUGACUUAGCUUUAAGACAAGAUUCUUGCCCACCGCAGACCACAUGGCCAGCUUUCCCAAAGGCCCUCUGAUAAUGAAAUGGUGGAGCAGAUAUAUCAAACUUUCCAUCUUGCCCUGAGCCAACGACCCUGCACCCUCACAGGCCAGGGCACUCUGGAGGGCACCCUGCCUGGAGCCCCAAACCUUGGGUAAGCUGUGGGAGCCUAGGCAGGGGCAGGCAGUGCCUGGAGGCUGGCUUCAGACGGCAGAACUUCUCACCUGGGAAAAUGCUUUCUGGAAGAAGCACCCAGGCCUCAAGGCAGCUCCAGUGAGGGGGCAAAAAGGGAUAUACAUAAGGCAUAAGGCGCUGGCCAUGGUUAGGUAGGUGCUCAGCCAGGAAGAUAGGGCAGAUUCACAUGGGGGAGAUUGGCUCGGUGAUGAGACCACUUCUGACUCCACCAGAACCAGGCCCAGCUCUUCCUGGAGGUCCUGACUCAACGGGGACUUUUGCAUGGGAGCCAAAGAACAGUGGAUGUCUCUUGUCCGCUGAUCAUCUCUUCCCUUCCCCCACCCCAUAUUCCAUCCCAUGCCAGAUCCCUAGGCUGUGCCUGUUAGAGCUACUGUAGCACCACAUGGACUUGCCUUUAAAGCAGAAUUUUUAGAAGUGCAGUUGCUUUUCUUUACUCUGCUGUGGGAUGCUGAACACCUUGUUCUUUCUCCAGCUCAGCAGGGCUUGGAGUUGGUUCCUAGCUAUCUCUGGGAAUGCUCGAUCCCCAUCUCUGUUACCAGCCAAAAGGGUCUGCGGGAGGUGGUCGGCACUCCAGUCAGCAGCCCUCUCAGUACCUCUUCCCCAGACAUAGUCAAAGCAAGUCAUUCAUCUGCAGCCAGUCUCCCCUGCCCAUUCACCAAGGAGAACCUGGGGAUAGGACCACUCAGAGCCUGGCCCAGGCUGGCUCACUAACUGUGUGUAAAUACACACAGCGGAAAGAGUAGGUGCUGAACACACAUGUGUGAGAGAGUGAAUUUUUACUCUCAAUCACCUUAUAUAUAUUAUCAAUAGUUUCAAAGUAUGUUGCCCAAAGGAUGUUAAUUCCUAAGAAGGCUUUUAUAUCGUUUGGAGUUUUGAGGAGUGUGUUGGCUGAAGAGAAGAGGGUCUGGCCCCAGUCUUGAUGGGAAUGCAUGGGGUAAACAGCUGGUGGCAGAGGUACAAAAGGGGCCUCUCUACUUUCUAAGAGAAUCUUCCAUCCUGGCUGAUUUUAGGACCUGGGGUGGGGUUCCCAUCAGGAGGAGGCCUAAGGAAGGAGUAGGACCCUUCCUAGAUGGCUGAGUCAACUUAUACGACAGGGCAGGGAAACCUAUCUUGGAAACCCGGGAGCCCUCCUUCCUCCUCCCCAUCCUCAGGCCUCACCUGAGACUUGAAAAUGGACCAGAGUCUUCCUCCAACAGUGAAAUUCGUUAAAGAGUCACUCCUGUCUAGAAUGUGCAGAAAUGCAAGCCUCUCUCUUUCUCUCUCUCUCUCUUUCUCCACCUUGAGGAUGCUGUAUCUAGAGCCCAUAUAGGGACAAGAAGGUAAGCAGUGAAAGCAGGAAAGAAGUAGAAGGCUGGCUGUCAUCCAGCUGUGCAUACAGUCCUAUCUCAGCUGAACUGUGCACGGUGAAUGAGGAAGUAAAUGACAGGUGAAGGACCAAGAGAGUGAAGCUAGUCAGUUUAUCUGAGGAGAUAGGUAUCAGUGAGUAACUGUAAGGAUCACACCCACAGUGGGUGUGCCCCGCAGAUGGAUAUAUGUGCAGCAAGCGGUACCUUGCGGGGGAAUGCAAGCUCCAACUGUGGUGCUGAGCCUCUGGCCCAUAAGUAACCCAGUGAGCCUGAGCAGGUCACUCCCUCUCUUUGAACCUUGUCUCCAUCUCUAAAACAGGACAGCUUUCUCCAUCUUAAACACCAAGUAGGAAUUCAUUGUGGAAACCUUCCAUCAAAAUUGGAGAUGCCUUGGAUGGACCCUGUGGUGGCUCAUGCCUGUAAUCCCAGCACUUUGGGAGGCUGCGGCAGGCAGAUCACUUGAGUCCAGGAGUUUGAGACCAGCCUGGGUGACAUGACAAAACCCUCUCUCCACAAAAAAUACAAAAAUUAGCUGGGCAUGGUGGCAUGCACCUGUAAUCUCAGCUACUUGGGAGGCUGAGGCAGGAGGAUCGCUUGAGCCUGGGAGGUUGAGGCUGUAGUGAGCCGAGAUAGUGCCACUGCACUCCAGUCUGGGCAACAGAGUGAGACCCUGUCUCAAAAAAACAAAAAAUAGAGAAAUAGAGAUGCCCCUUGAACCCAUGGGUUUUUGGGACUACAUUCUGGAAGCUUUCAGAGUCAGACCAGAGUUUGAAAGAGGCAUUGUGUCACUAGCCGUGUGCCCGUGGGCAAGUCACAGUAGAGUCUACUUCCCACGGCACUUGUGAGACUCAUCUGGGAUUAUGUGUGUCCAUGCCUUGGCAGAGAGCUUGGUGAAGAAUGUUAGUUGUCCAAUAAAUGGUACCCCAUUAAGUUGGUGUGCAGGGUGGCCACAGGGCCAGACCACCCUGAAAAUAAAGGCUUAUAUUUGGGCUGAGCCUGGAUGCACCUGAGAUUACAAGCAGGUGCUUAGAAUGUGGUGAAAAAGAAAGACAGGAGAGAAUGGCUGAAGGCAGCAUGCAGUCCACCUGACUUUCUGGGAAGAUUGGGCAUUUGCAGGGCUGAUAAGUCAGGUUCUUCCGGGCCUUUCUGUGAGCUCAUUAGAGGAAGGGGUCUGGUGACUGAUAUUUCUAUUUUCCCUGUUAGUAGCGACUGGAAUUUGCACCAUCCAGGUCAGAUGGAAAAUAGAAGGCGGGAAAAUCUGACAGUCUCAUUGAUUUGCUCUCUUUGCCAUCACCACUCUUGAGAGGAAGAAAUGUGACUUCAAACUUGCAAUUAGGAACCAGCCUGCUAAGGAGUCCUCUCGUGAGCUCCUGUGCUAUGCGGAGCACAGGCCCAUCUCAUCUCAUUUCCUAAGGAGGUAGGUUCAUUCAUGGUUUCAGCAGGAGCAGGCAGUGCAAACGUGUGACACCCGCCCGCAAAUAACUGCCAGAAAGGCCGUCCAAUGCUUCCUUCACAUUUUUGGUCAGAUCUCUGAAAAGAUGGCCAUUCUCCCAAUGUUUUAAAAGUAUUAACUUCCUUUCAAACAUCCUUUAACCUUUAAUGUUUUGUAACUUGAUGAAAAGGUCAUUUUGUGCUGAGGAUGCAGUUGUUCCGGAAUUGUUCAGCUAACGGGGUGAAUUCCAACCAAAUCCAGAAUUAUUUAAUGGGAUCCAACGCCCCGGCCACACGCACAAUAAGUGAAUAUUUUCCCAUAUAUGUCUGUGUACAGGUACAUGUACUUGUGCAUAUGUAUUUACAUAUUUGUAUCUAUGCAUGCACAUAUACUCAUUGGGACUUGGAUUCAAUGGACAUUUUUAGCCUUCUCACAAAAUGACUUAUCCUUUGCAGGAAAAUAGAUAUUAAACUUACUCUUUUGAACACAUUUUGCUAAAUAUUUGAUGGCAAUUAUUUAUGGUGCACUGUACUUAUUCCUGAUUUCUUACAGAAGGGGUUGGGUCAAUUUCUAAUUCAACAUUUCAUUGCUGUCUCUACAAUAAAUGCCUCCAGAAGCUUAGGAGAAUUGAGAGGUUUUUUUCCUCUCUCUUCUUUCACAGUGUGAGCUUUUUAACUGUCACUGGCUAGAGCAGUCCUUCUUCACUUUUACCUUCCUUAGCUGAUGUAUUCUUGGAAACAGAUGGCUGAGCAUGUUAGAUUUAUAUUUAAAAUAAGAGUAGAGUUAAUAGGCUCAAAUAAGAGCAGGAAGGUAUUUUCUACAAGGAAACUGCAUGAAGUUUAUGCCUGGACUCUGGAAGAUGUGUUAAUACUUUUACUUAUUCAAGAGGCAUUGGGUUGUGGUCUGCUAUGUUUCUUGCUCUGAUGACUGAGUUUUUAAGAUAAAGGCUCUCCGGGCAAAUAAGGAACAGUUGGAUAGAGUAGCUCACCUUAAGUCUCUAUAGACUCAUGUAGAGAACAAAUCUGAUCUAAACUGUGUAAAAAAAUGAGUAAGAGAACUCUAUAAGAUUAACACUCUUAUUAAACUUAAAAGAGAAAAUUGGUACUUUUUUUUUUUUUCUUAGACAGAGACUUGCUCUGCUGCUCAGGGUGAAGCACAGUGGCACAAUGUCGGCUCACUGCACUCACCUCUGCCUCCUGGGUUCAAGCGUUUCUUCUGCCUCAGCUUCCCGAAUAGCUGGGAUUGCAGGCAUGCACCACCACACCCAGCUAAUUUUUGUACUUUUAGUACAGACAGGGUUUCAACAGGUUGGCCAGGAUGGUCUCGAACUCCUAACUUCAAGUGAUCCACCUGCCUCAGCUUCCCAAAGUUCUGGGAUUACAGGGCACCAAAAAUUGGCACUUUUAAAAGGAGACAAGUUUUACUUAAAAGCAAAAGCCUUUAACAGGCCUUUGGCUGGAUUAAAUGAUAAUGAAGCGAAGCAAAGCUUGUGACCACUCUGUAGAGCCAUCCAGAUAGUCUCUCUUUGGGGCCAGAUCCUCUAGAAUGCAUGAUUUAGGGUCAUUCAUUGCACAUUCCUGGCUUCAGACUGGUUUUCUGAAUUUCCCUGCAAUCUGAUUUUUGUCUUCCUACAUUUCUGUGUGUGAGAUACAUCAAAAGGUAAAAGAAUGUGUGAAUCAUAUAGGUACGGUUUAAAUAAUACCUGCAUACACAACACUCAGUCACCUGAAACCCCCCGACACCUCCCAAUUCCAGUCCCCUCUCCUGGAGGCCACCUCUAUUUUUAAUUUUUGUAAUGAUCACUUCCUUGCCUUACUUUGUAGUUUUAAUAUUUAGAUGUGUAUACCUGGUCAUGUUCAUAAAUGAAAUCAUGUUGUAUGAAUUAUUUUGUGUCUUGUUUCUCUUACUCAGCAUUGUUUUUCGGACUUAACCAUGUGGAUUUGUGUUGCUGGUUCAUGGUCAAGGUUCUAGACUAUGAAAACAUUAGUUUCAUGAAAACAUUAGGAUUUUUUCCCCCCAAUUGUUUGGAUAUCAUGAAGAAUGCCGCUGCGAACAUGUUUGUUCCUAUGCCAUAACUCACAUGGGGAAUAUCUCCUAUUUAUAUAUAGUUAGGGGUGGGAUUGCUUGGUCAGAGUUUGCAUAUCUGCAGCUCUAACUGUUUUCCAAGAUGAUUGUGUCAAUUUUCACUCCCACAAGCAGUUUUUAAAGUUCCCAUUGUUCUACAUCCUUGCCAGCCUAUGAUAUUGUUAGCAAUGUUUCUUCGUAUUUGUAAUGUUUCCUAAUCUAGCGGCUGUGGUUGCUGUCUCACUGUGUUUAAUUUGCAUUUCCAUGAUUACUAAUGAGUUUGAGCACCUUUUUUAUAUCUGCGUGGUGAUCGGGAAUGCCUUAUUUGUGAGAUGCCUGUUCAAGUCCUGCCAUUAUCCGUUGCAUAUAUGUUUCACAUUAUUUCACCCAAGUUCUCUGUUGCCCAGGUUUGUUUCAGAUUGGUUUGGGACAGUGGAUCAGAUCAGAAAUGUUUCAGUGACAUCUCUCACUAUAUUUCCUAGGAUGCUUUUAUCUGUGAGAAAUACGACCCCCUGCUCACACUGGCUUAAGGAAAUUGGCAAGAGGUAGAUUAUGGCUCCAUUAUAUUAACAGGAAGCCAGUUUGCUCUGCCUUCUUACUCUUCGCUUCGUUUUCGGCAUAAUCUCAUCCUCAAGGUGUUUUAUCUUAUGAUUUCAAGAGGACCACAAAUGGCGAGUGGAACUAAUUGCUUCUUUGUCCACAUUCCACAAGGAAGAGAAUAAUAGAAAACUUUUCAUUGACCCAUGUAAUCUAAGUCAUACCCUUCAGUUUCCAGGGGCCACGUCCAUGAAGCAGGAGGCAUCUGCAGUGAAUGCCAUGCCCUGACGCCUUACUGAGCACUCCUAGUAGGACAAAAUGAGUACUGUAUGGGGAGGAGGCAACCUCAAACAACCACCAUGCUUACUGCCAAGCCUAUAGGAUAUUUUUAAAUUCAUUUUUUAAUUUGCAUAUAAUAAAAUGCAUUUUUUUGGGAUGCAGUUUUCUGAGUUUUGCCAAAUGCACAAAAUCACAUAACUACCACUGCCAUCAAGAUUUGGAACAGUGGCUAGGUGUGGUGGUGGCUUACACCUGUAAUCCCAGCACAUUGGGAGGCUGAGGCAGGAGCAUCGCUUGAGCCCAGGACUUCAAGAUCAGCUUGAGCAACAUAGUGAGACCCCAUCUUUACAAAAAACUUUUUAAAAAUUAGCUGGGCAUGGUGGCAUGUGCCUGUAGCCCCAGCUACUUGGAAGGCUAAGGCAGGAGGAUCACUUGAACCUGGGAGGUUGAGGCUGCAGUGUGCUGUGAUUGCACCGCUGUACUCCAGCCUGGGUGACAGAGGAAAACCCCAUCUCAAAAAUUUUUUUUAAAAGAUUUAGAGUCGUUUUCUUUUUUUUCUUUUUUUUUUUUGGACAGAGUUUGGCUCUUGUCGCCGGGGCUGGAAUGCAAUAGUACAAUCUUGGCUCACUGCAACCUCCACCUCCCAGGUUCAAGUGAUUCUUCUGCCUCAGCCUCCCGAGUGGCUGGGACUACAGGUGCCCAGCACCACACCUGGCUUUUUUUUUUUUUUUUUUUUUUUUUUUUUUUUUUUUUUUUAGUAGAGGCAGGGUUUCACCAUGUUGACAGGCUGGUCUCGAACUCCUAACCUCAGGUGAUCCACCCUUUUUGACCUCCCAAAGUGCUGUGAUUAUAGGCAUGAGCCACCGUGCCUGGCCUAGAAUAGUUUUCUUACUCCCCCAAAACUGCUUUAUGCUGCCUUUUUGUAGUCAAACUAUCUGCCUGCCCUUAACCCCAGCUCCCCCGCAUUAGAAACCACUGAACCUCUGAUCUGUUCUUCACCUUAAAGCUUUCCCUUUUCCAGGGUGUAGCGUAUGUGGAAUUAUAGAGUAUGUCACCUUUCAAGUCUGGCUUCUUUCAUCUAGUGUAAUGCAUUUGAGAUUUAUCUAUGUUGUCGGAUGUAUCAGUAAGUUUGUGUCUUAGCAGUGCUGAGAAGUAUUCCUUUGCAUGGAUGUACCCAGAUCUGUUUAUCCAUUCAUCAGUUAGAGGACAACUGGGUUGUUUCCAGUUUGGGGUGAUUACAAAUAAAGCCACGAUGUACAAGCACCUCUAGGUUUUGGGUGAACAUAAGUUUUCAUUUCUCUUAAGUUUCAAUACCUAGGAGAAUGAUUGCUAGGUCAAUGGUAAGAGCGUGUAUAAUGCUACAAGAAAGUGCUAAACUGUUUUCCAAAGUGAGUGUAGCAUUUUGUAUCCCCGCUAGCAAUGAAAUGAGAGCUCCGCUUGCUCUGUAAGAGGCAUUAGUGAAUAUGAAAGUGCUUUGUAAAGACUAAGGGUGUCUCACAGUGUGCCCAGGCGGGAGGAUUCAGAGGGGGCAUUUCUAAACUCUAAACUCCUGUGGGCUCCUAGCCCAUCCUUCUGAAUGGGGACAGAAUACUUCCAUUUCCAGGUUACUUGCUUCUCCAAAAGGGAGACAGGGAAGUAUCCUUCUCUUUUUGCAAAUGAGGGCACAGCACUGCCUCUCGUGGUUGAGCCAGUCAUUAUUCAGUAGGAACAGCAGUGAGAUUCUCCAGCCUUCUAUUUUAUUCCUGGGGUCACAGAGUAAAAUGCAGCGUGAUCAUUUGGAGCAUUCUUAUGCUUUGUGACAAGAACAAAGCCAGUGGAAACAGCCAUGUGUCCAAUCAGAAUGUCAGAGCUGGCAGGGACCUUAGCAAUUGUCACUUUACAGAUGAUAACCUAUUACAUCCCCAGGUCCCCAGAAUCCCAGCCCAGGACUCACUCCCUCAGCCUUCCUGGAUUGUCCUGGGUGGAACAAGAUCAGCUCAUUUAGCACAUAGUCUUCCAGAACACAAGGCAGUGUCCCACCAAGGUUGGAUGGGACCAGCUUCUCUAUCCACAGUAGCUGUGCACACAGAGACAGAAAUGAAGCCGUACUGCCGGGUGCACCGUGGCCAGAGAUCCUCCUUCCUGGUAUAUACUCCCGGAGCCAUUGCUUCUUUCAUUUCAGUGCCCAUUUCUGAGGCACCUUCACAUUUCAAACGUCCUGAGAAUAUGUUUAAUUAGAACUUGGCCAUACAGCCUUUUAAAACAAAACAGAAGGGACCAGCUAAUUAUAUCACUCAGCAUUCUGUGGCAAACAUAUAUUUUUUAAUAAAACACUUUCCUAACCAGAGUAAUCCCUGGAGAUGCAAAUCCUCAUUUAUAAGAAGUUUCCCAAAGGGAGUUAAAGAGAAGAUGCCUUAUAAAGAAAAGAGACAAAGAGAGUGGGGAAGUGUUUUCAAAGAGCUUUUAAAAGAUACACUCAUUCUGAGGUUGAAUUACAGAUAUUUUAAGGGUACCAAAUUUUAUUUCAGAUGUAAUCCUUUCCUGUGUUUUUGAUCAUGUAUUUCCGUUUUUUCCCUUUUUGAUCAUUGCCACAAAUGCCCAUAUUUCUCUUUCUGGUGUCUUUCAUAAGUGCAAUAUUUAAAUAAACAAGGGAUUUUCCCAAAAUGCACCUCAUCUCCUACUCUUUGUCAUUUCCUUGUCUUGCUCUGUAAAUAACCGUGUGUCUCACAGCAGAGCUUACACAGAAUGGAUGUGGGGCAGUCUGUGGUCCUGGGGAGGGCCUUCCCUGUAAUCUCUGCAGCCCAGGACAGGGAGAGGGAAGAUUUAGAUCCUGCUGCGGCAUGUCUUCAGGAGUGGAGGUCAGCUUGGGACAUUUACGUUCAUGAGGCAGCCGCAGAGGGUCAGAGCAAUAAUUGUGCCAGCUGAUGUUUGCUGCGGGGUUUACUCCAAGCCAGGCCACACGCUAAGAAAUUAGGUAUCGUACCUCAUUUAAUCCUCACAAUCCUCACAAAAUGUAGUUGUUUUGCUCCAUUUUGCAGAUGAAGAAGACGAGGCUUGAGAGACGAAGGAAUGAAUGAAGGGUCUCACAGCUGUUAGAAGGGUUAGAUCUUGUAUUUGGACUCAGGUCUGCCUGCCCUGGAACUUGACUCUCCCACACCUGGUGCUGGGCACACUAGGAGACGUCACAAGGCUCAGAGAUGCCACCCUUCCUAGAACGGGCGCCGUGCCUCUCUUCUCCACACACUGCAGGGGAGACAGGCACUGUGUUUUCAGAUAAGUUCCAUGUGCAUCAGGGGCUCGGUGGGAAAGGGAGGACACACUCAGAUUAGGAUUAUUCAUGGAGGAUUCUCCAAAGAGGCUAUUUGGAAAGACGGAGGGAAUGGUGAAGGAAAGCACAAGAGAAAAUGGACAGAACCGUUACUUCCUCACGCCUGAAGGGGAUGGGUUACUGGAAGCCAGGAGGAGAGUGUGAUAAGAGCCACUUUUAGAGGAGCUUUCACCUUCAGGAGAAAGUCAGGGCCCAAGAAGACCCACAGGGAGGUGACCAGGGAAUGGCAUACUUGGACUACCCUCUCUUCUGUUCCUCCACUCUCCUGCCAGGGCUCCACAUUGGAUAAACCCCUGCAGGGGCGAGUGAAACUGCCACCCAGGUUUGCCUCCCAGGGCACAGCCCAUGGAGAGCUCUAAGGCAAGUGGCAGAAAACUAGCACAGGUGCAGUGCGUCUUGCAAAGCACCCAGCCUAUGCCGGCCCUGGGCUAGAAAUGGGAAGAGAGGAGACCAUGGCACUGCCCUCAAAGAUCUUAGAGUCUGUGGAGGAGUCAGGCAGAGAGAGGGGGUGUUCCCUUGGCAAAGGACUCCAUGAGCAGAUGCAGGCCAUGGGCGACGCUCCUGCAGAAGCUUUGGGGUUUGCCGCAUGUGCCUGGAAGGAGCGCGCCCACCUUGACAUGCCUCGCCUCCUGUUGCCAUUGACAACGUGAAGGCAAACUCCUGGGGCUGGGCCUUUUUCCUUGAGAUAAAAUAUGUAUAAUUCUCUGUUAUCAAAUGAUUAUUAAACAAAAUCUAAUUGAAAAAAUAGAAAGAAGAAAAGAUAAGUCAUUUAUCAUCCUGUUCUCCAAAGACAACUGUGAACAGCUUGGUGGAACUCCUUCCAGUGGCUUUCCUUGGAGCUUUGCCUCUGUGGAUGUGGAAAACCUUAAGACCUUUGUUGGACCAACUGGGGAAGAAUUUCUUUCCUGCUCAGGCUGCUCAGCUGAUAGAGUGCUGGCCUGGAGCAGCUGAAAGACACUUUGCUGCUUUCUGGAGAAUGAAGCCACUGGGAAACCACAUAGGAGGGAAGAGAGAGACAGCUUCUCGAUGAUGUCAUCUGAACACCUGGAUCCUGCUGUGCCUGGACUUGCAGUCCCAUUGUCUACCAAUAUAGUUCAUUGAAUUCAACUUCAGCUGGAUGUCAUUCAUCUGCUUCCAGAACUUGUGUCUAAUGCAGAGCUGAAUGCAUACUCUCAGAGUUGGAAGUGGAUGCAAUCCACAAAUCUAGCACCCAAAUUUCUUUUUUCUGUUCUUUUUUUUUUUUAAUUUGAGAUGGAGUCUUGCUCUGUCACCCAGGCUGAAGUGUAGUGGCGCAAUCUCAGCUCACUGCAACCUCUGCCUCCCAGAUUCAAGCGAUCCUUCUGCCUCAGCCUCCCGAGUAGCUGGAAUUACAGGCGUGUGCCACCACGGCUGGCCUAAUUUUGGUAUUUUUAGUAGAGAUGGGGUUUCACCAUGUUGGCCAGGCUGAUAUCGAACUCCUGGCCUCAAGUGAUCUACCCCCCUUGGCCUCCCAAAGUGCUGGGAUUACAGGUGUGAACCACCAUGCCCGGCCUCAAAUUGCUUUUACAGAGGCAAGUGGCCACCGAGUCUGUGAUUGGGAUCCUCCUGUGGAGACCUGUGGAGACUCGUGGCUCACUACCUUUGAAGGCAGUGUUAGGGUAAUCUCUCCACAUUUCCCUGCUGAAAGCUCUGAGUGUUAGUAAAUUCCUUCUCAUAUUAGCUAAAAUGUAUUUUCCUGUGCCUUUUAUUCACUGAUGGGGAAUACAAGCAUUCUUUUUGAGGGUGGCCAAUGCUAGUAAUUCCCUCCAUACAGUCAGUGAUGGAUAGAGUUAACCCAUGGUUGCUGCAUGUAGUACUGUCACUUGCUGUACCACCAGGACUCAAGUUGAUGCUCAACGCAACAUUCUUUUGCAGGGCCCUUGUCCUCAGUUUCCCUUCUUUUGGGGUGGGCUGAGAGAGACAGCUUAUUCAGCAUGAAGCUGUAGUAUCUACAGUUUAGCAAAUGUCUGCGGAGCCUUUAAAGCAGUUUUUAUCAUAAUAAAAAUAUUUUAACUUAUAACCCCAGAAAGAGAUAGGCAUGGGAGUCUUUAUACAGCACAGAAAUCCAGAUGAGCAUAAUUUGAAAGUCAUUUGAAUUGUAAUGAGUAUUUUUAAUGUAAACAGGCAGGAGGAAAAACUUGCUGGGUUCUCUUGUAGCACAGACACCCAGAUAUAUGUCUUUUGAUAGUGAUAUUAAAGUGUCAAGGGUGCAUAGGAGGCUGCAGAUGUCAGCGGCAUGAAUGGGCAAGGCAAUUUCUGUGGUUGCAGGCUGGAGGUUCCAGCAGGAAUAGAAAGGCAAUCUCUGUGCUAGAUGGCCCAGGGUCACUGCAAGUCUAGCUCCUAAAUGAAAAUCAGGGACAAGAUGUGGCCUGUAACCACAGUCACUGCUCUUCGUAAGGCUGGUGGAAAGGUGAACUGGAAAGGUUUUUAGGGUUAGGGAGAUACAGGAACUCCCAAACAUCAGGCACCUGAUAGCACUCUCCACCUAACAUCUGCAUUUAUAUUGACCUAAUGCAUCUGUUCAAUUUGUCUCAUUCUUUGUGCUCACACACAUUUAUUUGAAACAAAACUUUCCAUCAUUACUAUAGGUGAAAAUCCUUGAUCACUUGCCUUGAAUACAAGAAACCAUUAUUAAAUGCAAGCUAGAUAAUUUUGCUUGUCUUACAGCCAUGAGCCUUAAGUCUGUUCCCCCCACCCCCCCCCCCCCCCGCCUUUUUUUUUUGUUAAAAAGAUGAGCAAAAUGUGAGAAUGAUGCAAAAGAGAUCCUGGU